Molecule: ribosomal RNA, 401 nt
Filed under: uncultured bacterium
Lineage: Bacteria
Description: bacterial SSU rRNA
Rfam family: Bacterial small subunit ribosomal RNA
Source: RNAcentral
GGACCCGCACAAGUAGUGGAGCAUGUGGUUUAAUUCGAUGAUACGCGAGGAACCUUACCAGGGCUUAAAUGCAGAGCGACAGGGGUGGAAACACCCCCUUCUUCGGACGGACUGCAAGGUGCUGCAUGGUUGUCGUCAGCUCGUGCUGUGAAGUGUCGGGUUAAGUCCCAUAACGAGCGCAACCCCCAUUUCUAGUUGCCAGCGGUUCGGCCGGGGACUCUAGAGAAACUGCCAGCGUAAGCUGUGAGGAAGGUGGGGAUGACGUCAAAUCAUCACGGCCCUUACAUCCUGGGCCACACACGUGCUACAAUGGUAGGGACAACAGGUUGCCAACCCGCGAGGGUGAGCCAAUCCCAAAACCCUAUCUCAGUUCGGAUCGGAGUCUGCAACUCGACUCCGUG